CCUACGGGGGACAGCAGUGAGGAAUAUUGGUCAAUGGGCGCGAGCCUGACCCAGCCAAGUAGCGUGAAGGAUGACUGCCCUCCGGGUUGUAAACUUCUUUUAUAAAGGAAUACAGUGAGGCACGUGUGCCUUUUUGUCUGUACUUUAUUACUACGGAUCGGCUAACUCCGUGCCAGCAGCCGCGGUAAUACGUAGGAUCCGAGCGUUAGCCGGAUUUAUUGGGUUUAAAGGGAGCGUAGAUGGGUUGUUAAGUCAGUUGUGAAAGUUUGCGGCUCAACCGUAAAAUUGCAAUUGAUACUGGCAGUCUUGAGUACAGGUGAGGUAGGCGGAAUUCGUAGUGUAGCGGUGAAAUGCUUAGAUAUCACGAAGAACUCCGAUGGCGAAGGCAGCUUACUAAACUGCCACUGACAUUGAUGCUCGAAAGUGUGGGUAUCAAACAGGAUUAGAUACCCCUGUAGUC
Molecule: ribosomal RNA, 460 nt
Filed under: uncultured bacterium
Lineage: Bacteria
Description: partial 16S ribosomal RNA
Rfam family: Bacterial small subunit ribosomal RNA
Source: RNAcentral